RNAcentral lists this ribosomal RNA (1633 nucleotides) under uncultured archaeon. RNAcentral describes it as "bacterial SSU rRNA". It matches the Rfam family "Archaeal small subunit ribosomal RNA". The record is from RNAcentral.
UCCGGUAGAUCCUGCCGGACCCUACUGCUAUCGGGGUGGGACUAAAACAUGCUAGUCGAGCGUCUCCUAGCCAUGGUGGAGGCGCGGCGUACAGCUCAGUAACACGUGGCUAACCUACCCUUGGGACGGGAACACCCCCGGGAAACCACGCACAGACCUUGACCACAUAAACACAAAUUCUCAAAAAAUCCAAAAACCCCAUAACAUAAACAAACACUUCACUACUCCGCCUUGCCGAUUUCUAAGCUGGCAAAGGCUAUCUCAAACUAACCAAAACCUACACGCAACUUUCUAAGAAUAGAAACUUAAGGCUCUGGCGUAACCCAAAACUGGGGUUAAUUCCCGAUGGGUGAGGAGGCCCGGAAUGGUUCUUCACUGAAAGGGCGCUAGAGGCAUGCUCUCUAACGUUGCCCAAGGAUGGGGCCGCGGCCGAUCAGGUUGUUGGUGAGGUAACGGCUUACCAAGCCUAUAACCGGUACGGGCCGUGAGAGCGGAAGCCCGGAGAUGGGCACUGAGAUAAGGGCCCAGGCCCUACGGGGCGCAGCAGUUGCGAAAACUCCGCAAUGCACGAAAGUGUGACGGGGCUACCCCGAGUGCCGUCCGCUGAAGAUGGCUUUUCUCCGCUGUAAGGAGGCAGAGGAAUAAGGAGAGGGCAAGACUGGUGUCAGCCGCCGCGGUAAUACCAGCUCUCCGAGUGGUAGGGGUGAUUAUUGGGCUUAAAGCGUCCGUAGCCGGCCUGGCAAGUCUUCCGUUAAAUCCAGCAACCUAAUUGUUGGGCUGCGGGGGAUACUGUUAGCUUGGGGGCGGGAGAGGCCGACGGUAUUUCUCGGGGUAGGGGUGAAAUCUUAUAAUCCCGAGAGGACCACCAGUGGCGAAGGCUGUCGGCUAGCACGCGCCUGACGGUGAGGGACGAAAGCUGGGGGAGCGAACCGGAUUAGAUACCCGGGUAGUCCCUGCUGUAAACGAUGCGAGCUAGGUGUUGGGGCGGCUACGAGCCGCUUCAGUGCCGCAGCGAAGGCGUUAAGCUCGCCGCCUGGGGAGUACGGCCGCAAGGCUGAAACUUAAAGGAAUUGGCGGGGGAGCACCACAAGGCGUGAAGCUUGCGGUUCAAUUGGAGUCAACGCCGGGAACCUUACCGGGGGCGACAGCAGGAUGAAGGCCAGGUUGAUGGUCUUGCUGGACGAGCUGAGAGGAGGCGCAUGGCCGUCGUCAGUUCGUGCCGUGAGGCGUCCUCUUAAGUGAGGUAACGGUCGAGACCCGCGCCCUUGUUGCUAACAGACUCCAUCGGGGUCUGUGCACACUAGGGGGACCGCCGUCGAUAAGACGGAGGAAGGAGCGGGCCACGGCAGGUCAGUAUGCCCCGAAUCCCCCGGGCCACACGCGAGCUGCAAUGGCAGGGACAAUGGGUGUCGACUCCGAAAGGAGGAGGUAAUCUCUAAACCCUGCCUCAGUUGGGAUCGAGGGCUGAAACCCGUCCUCGUGAAUAUGGAAUGCCUAGUAAUCGCGCGUCAUCAUCGCGCGGUGAAUACGUCCCCGCUCCUUGCACACACCGCCCGUCGUUCCAUCCGAGUGGGGUUUGGGUGAGGCGUAGUCCUUGGUGGCUGCGUCGAACUCAGGUUCCGCGAGGAGGGAA